This 230-nucleotide ribosomal RNA is filed under the name uncultured microorganism. RNAcentral's name for it is "partial 16S ribosomal RNA". It matches the Rfam family "Bacterial small subunit ribosomal RNA", at positions 524 to 754 of the family's 1533-position model. The record is from RNAcentral.
UACGGAGGAUGCGAGCGUUAUCCGGAUUUAUUGGGUUUAAAGGGUGCGUAGGCGGGCUUUUAAGUCAGCGGUAAAAAUUCGGGGCUCAACCCCGUCCGGCCGUUGAAACUGGGGGCCUUGAGUGGGCGAGAAGAAGGCGGAAUGCGUGGUGUAGCGGUGAAAUGCAUAGAUAUCACGCAGAACCCCGAUUGCGAAGGCAGCCUUCCGGCGCCCUACUGACGCUGAGGCAC